RNA transcript from Oncorhynchus keta (chum salmon), 4234 nucleotides. It is a transcript of the gene named arylformamidase, with no coding region annotated. The record is from RefSeq and is a predicted model, not a curated record. The transcript has 11 exons. NCBI's taxonomy places the organism in Eukaryota, Metazoa, Chordata, Actinopteri, Salmoniformes, Salmonidae.
UGUUGAACGUUUUUAAUAUAUCAGUGUGAGACUGACAAAAAAAAAAACAAUCAGCCCCAGGCUGGUAAAUUCGACCAUGAUAGCCGCUAAACUAAUUUAGCAAUCUAAAAAAUGUUAUCUGACAUGGGCUAUUUGAUUGUCUGUCAGUGAGUGACACAACAAGAGAAACUGCCGAAGCACCGCCACAAUGACACCUUGUGUAUUCUACUGUUCAACCUCGCAAAGGCAGAGGGGAAACGACUGUUGUCCUGGGCGGCAACAAUGAGAAUCAGGUUCUCUGUGUUGUGCCUCUCGGAGUCUAUCUGCUGUUGUUACAUUCAAGAGCAACAAUGUCACGUUGGAAGGAAAUGAAUAAGGAUGAGCUAGAGAGGCAGUUUUCGCCCAGCCAAUGGUCGCACAGAAUGUCGGCAGACGACGUUAUCAAAUCCCACGUGACGGCGCUCAAAGAAGGUACGGAGCGUGCCCGGGGUCUGGCCCAAACCCUCCUCAACGUUCCCUAUGGAGAAGGAGAGGGGGAGAAACUAGACGUCUAUGUUCCCACCACCACUUCUCUAGAUGUCCCACUGGUAAUCUACCUCCAUGGAGGCUACUGGCAGUUCCUUAGUAAGGAGGAGUCCGGGUUUAUGGCUGUCCCAUUGGUCCAUAAGGGCGUUGUGGUGGUUGCCGUGGGUUACGACAUCGCUCCCAAAGGGAACAUGGAUCUGAUGGUGUCUCAGGUGCGGAGGAGUGUGGUGUCCGUCAUUCAACAGUAUUCACACAUUAGUGGUCUGUACCUGUGUGGCCACUCUGCGGGGGCCCACCUGGCUGCUAUGAUCCUCUCUACAGACUGGUCUCAGUACAGUGUGACCCCUCAGAUCAAAGGUGCAUUCCUGGUCAGUGGUAUAUAUGACCUCCUGCCUAUCCUGUCCACCUAUGUCAACGAGCCUCUGAAGAUGACAGAGGGUCAAUUAAGGAAGACAUCAUCUUCUGCAAACCACUGGAAACCAGGACAACAUGAGGAUAUUUUUCAAGUACUGGACAGGUUUGUAACAUCAAAUGGACUUUGGUGGUCAAGAUGUGUUGGUAUCUGUACUGAUGGAGCAAAAGCCAUGACAGGGAGACACAGUGGAGUGGUAAAGCGCAUGCGAGCAGUUGCUCCCGACGCCACUUGGGUCCACUGCAGCAUCCACCCAGAGGCUCUUGGGUCCACUGCAGCAUCCACCCAGAGGCUCUUGGGUCCACUGCAGCAUCCACCCAGAGGCUCUUGGGUCCACUGCAGCAUCCACCCAGAGGCUCUUGGGUCCACUGCAGCAUCCACCCAGAGGCUCUUGGGUCCACUGCAGCAUCCACCCAGAGGCUCUUGGGUCCACUGCAGCAUCCACCCAGAGGCUCUUGGGUCCACUGCAGCAUCCACCCAGAGGCUCUUGGGUCCACUGCAGCAUCCACCCAGAGGCUCUUUCUUGCUGCCAAGGGAAUGCCUGACGGAUUAAAAGAUGUUUAGAACACUACAGUGAAAAUGGUUACCUUUGUUAAAGCAAGGCCCCUGAACUCUCGAGCCUGCUCAACCAUACCUGGCUAAAUGCUCCCCGUAGCCAGGCCAGUGCGGCGAGGUGGAAUAGCUCGCACUGGGCUGUGCUGGCGAACCGGGGACACCAUGCGCAGGGCUGGUGCCAUGUACCCCGGCCCGAGGAGACGCACUGGGGACCAGAUGCGCUGCGUCGGCUUCAUGGCACCUGGCUCGAUGCCCACUCUAGCCUGGCCGAUACGGGGAGCUGGGAUGUAGCGCACCGGGCUAAGCACGCGUACUGGGGACACGUGUACCUCACGGCAUAACACGUUGCCUGCCCGGUCCCUCUCUCUCCACGAUAAGCACGGGGAGUUGGUGCAGGUCUCCGACCUGACUUCGACACACUCCCCGUGUGCCUCCCCCCAAUUUUUUGGGGGGCUAGCUCUCGGGCUUCCAGCCGCGCUGCUGUGCUGCCUUCUCAUACCACCGCCUCUCGGCUUUCGCUGCCUCCAGCUCAGCCUUGGCGAUACUCUCCCAGCUAUACCCAGGGUCCCUUGCCGUCCAGAAUCUCCUCCCAUGUCAAGGAGUCCUGUGAUCGCUGCUGCUGCUGCCCGUUACCACGCUGCUUGGUCCUUUGGUGGUGGGUGUUUCUGUAUUCUAGAGGUAUUAUUUAUGACUGUGGGGUUUCCGCUGUCCGGUUAGAUACCAGGGGGGUAUUCUAGAGGUAUUAUUUAUGACUGUGGGGUUUCCGCUGUCCGGUUAGAUACCAGGGGGUAUUCUAGAGGUAUUAUUUAUGACUGUGGGGUUUCCGCUGUCCGGUUAGAUACCAGGGGGUAUUCUAGAGGUAUUAUUUAUGACUGUGGGGUUUCCGCUGUCCGGUUAGAUACCAGGGGGGUAUUCUAGAGGUAUUAUUUAUGACUGUGGGGUUUCCGCUGUCCGGUUAGAUACCAGGGGGGUAUUCUAGAGGUAUUAUUUAUGACUGUGGGGUUUCCGCUGUCCGGUUAGAUACCAGGGGGUAUUCUAGAGGUAUUAUUUAUGACUGUGGGGUUUCCGCUGUCCGGUUAGAUACCAGGGGGUAUUCUAGAGGUAUUAUUUAUGACUGUGGGGUUUCCGCUGUCCGGUUAGAUACCAGGGGGGUAUUCUAGAGGUAUUAUUUAUGACUGUGGGGUUUCCGCUGUCCGGUUAGAUACCAGGGGGGUAUUCUAGAGGUAUUAUUUAUGACUGUGGAGUUUCCGCUGUCCGGUUAGAUACCAGGGGGUAUUCUAGAGGUAUUAUUUAUGACUGUGGAGUUUCCUCUGUCCGGUUAGAUACCAGGGGGGUAUUCUAGAGGUAUUAUUUAUGACUGUGGCGUUUCCGCUGUCCGGUUAGAUACCAGGGGGGUAUUCUAGGUGGUGUGUAUGUACGCCUGUGUUUGGCGCCACCUAUUUUUGUACAUUUCUUGGUUGGACAAUAAAGCGUGUUUUCCCCAUUCCUUGGCUCUCUGCGCCUGACUCCAAACCCAGUCACCUCUUUCAACGUUACAAUUGAGGCUAUGAUUAAGAAGUUGGAGCUCUUCUCUGUCUGUAUUAACAAGGACAACACACAGGUCUUUCUAUCAUUGUAUGAUUAUUUUGUGUGCAAAUGACCUCAAGCUUACGGACAAUGUCAAAUGUGAUAUAGUGAAGCACCUGAGUGAGCUGGGUGCACAAUUACGCAGGUACUUUCCCGAAACGGACGACACAAACAACUGGAUUCGUUAUCCCUUUCAUGCCCUGCCUCCAGUCCACCGAUAUCUGCACAACAGCCUCAUCGAAAUGGCAACAAGCGGUUCUGUGAAAAUUGAAUUUAAUCAGAAGCCACUGCCAGAUUUCUGAUAGGGCUGCACUCAGAGUAUCCUGCCUUGGCAAAUCACGCUGUUAAGACACUGAUGCCCUAUUCAGCCACGUACCUGUGUGAGAGUGGAUUCUCAGCCCUCACUAGCAUGACAACUAAAUACAGACACAGACUGUGGAAAAUGAUUUAAGACUGAGACUCUCCAAUACAACCCAACAUUGCAGAGUUAUGUGCAUCCUUUCAAUCACACCCUUCUCAUUAACCUGUGGUGAGUUAUUCACAAUUUUCGAUGAACAAAUAAGGUUUUAUAUGUAAAAUGGUUAAAUAAAGAGCAAUAUUAUUGAUUAUUAUUAUUUGUGCCCUGGUCCUGUAAGAGUUCUUUGUCACUUCCCACGAGCCAGGUUGUGACAAACUCACUCUUAUGUUUAAUAAAUGUAUAGUGUGUGUGGAGGCUUACAAUGAUGGCAAAAAACAACAUUUGAGAGUAUGCUAACCUGGUGCUAGAGGGGGUACAGCUGACCCUGGUGCUAGAGGGGGUACAGCUGGAGGUUGAAUGUUUAAAGGGGUACGGGACUAUAAAACGUUUGGGAACCACUGCUCUACCGUAUCUACUAAUGGUCAUCUAAGGUCAGCGAGUAAUGGUGUUUAUCAAUGGCCAAAUUAUUUGUGUGUGUUUGUGUAUGUGAGAGAGUGAAGAAGAUGAAAUGAAUCCUAUAUUUAGAGAGAGAGAUGUAGUCUGUGUGUUUGGCACUGUGUAUGUGAGAGAGUGAAGAAGAUGAAAUGAAUACUAUAUUUAGAGAGAGAGAGAUGUAGUCUGUGUGUUUGCUUUGUGGGUGUCCAGUAGCAGUCAGAGCCAGUCAGAGCCACCACCAGAAGCUCCCCCCUCUCUCUCGCCUCUUGUUUCCCCUCUUUCUCUCUGUCUCACUCUCUGUCUCU